AUUAGGUGAAGUCAAUGAUCCCAUGCUGCCGAGAAAAGCCUCUAGCGAGCUUCGAGCGGCCCGUACCCCUAACCGACACAGGUGGUCAGGUAGAGAAUACCGAGGCGAUCGGGCGAACUAUGGUUAAGGAACUCGGCAAAUUACCCCCGUAACUUCGGGAGAAGGGGGGCCACAGACUGUCAAACUCCAUGCGGGUGGCAGCGGUAGGUGGCCGCAGAGACCAGGGGGAAGCGACUGUUUACUAAAAACACAGGUCCGUGCGAAGUCGUAAGACGAUGUAUACGGACUGACGCCUGCCCGGUGCUGGAACGUUAAGGGGACCGGUUAGUCCGCAAGGGCGAGGCUGAGAACUUAAGCGCCAGUAAACGGCGGUGGUAACUAUAACCAUCCUAAGGUAGCGAAAUUCCUUGUCGGGUAAGUUCCGACCUGCACGAAUGGCGUAACGACUUCCCUACUGUCUCAACCAUAGGCCCGGCGAAAUUGCACUACGAGUAAAGAUGCUCGUUACGCGCGGAAGGACGGAAAGACCCCGGGACCUUCACUAUAGCUUGACAUUGGUACUCGAAUUGAAUUGUGUAGUAUAGGUGGGAGACUAUGAAGCUCGGACGCCAGUUCGGGUGGAGUCAAACUUGAAAUACCACUCUGUUGAAUUUGGGUAUCUAACUUCGGACCGUGAUCCGGUUCAGGGACAGUGUCUGGUGGGUAGUUUAACUGGGGCGGUUGCCUCCUAAAAUGUAACGGAGGCGCCCAAAGGUUCCCUCAGCCUGGUUGGCAAUCAGGUGUUGAGUGCAAGUGCACAAGGGAGCUUGACUGUGAGACUGACAGGUCGAGCAGGGACGAAAGUCGGGACUAGUGAUCCGGCACCUGCGAGUGGAAGCGGUGUCGCUCAACGGAUAAAAGGUACCCCGGGGAUAACAGGCUGAUCUUCCCCAAGAGUCCAUAUCGACGGGAUGGUUUGGCACCUCGAUGUCGGCUCGUCGCAUCCUGGGGCUGGAGUAGGUCCCAAGGGUUGGGCUGUUCGCCCAUUAAAGCGGCACGCGAGCUGGGUUUAGAACGUCGUGAGACAGUUCGGUCCCUAUCCUCCGCGCGCGCAGGAGACUUGAGAAGGGCUGUCCCUAGUACGAGAGGACCGGGACGGACGAACCUCUGGUGUGCCAGUUGUCAUGCCAAUGGCACGGCUGGUUAGCUACGUUCGGAAGGGAUAACCGCUGAAAGCAUCUAAGCGGGAAGCCUGCUUCAAGAUGAGGUCUCCCACCCCUUGAGGGUUAAGGCCCCCAGCUAGACCACUGGGUUGAUAGGCCAGAAGUGUAAGCCUGGUAACAGGUUCAGCCGACUGGUACUAAUAGGCCGAGGACUUAACC
RNAcentral lists this ribosomal RNA (1361 nucleotides) under metagenome. RNAcentral's name for it is "bacterial LSU rRNA". It matches the Rfam family "Bacterial large subunit ribosomal RNA", at positions 1580 to 2925 of the family's 2925-position model. The record is from RNAcentral.